This 84-nucleotide microRNA precursor is filed under the name Bombyx mori (domestic silkworm). RNAcentral describes it as "mir-2807 microRNA precursor family". It matches the Rfam family "mir-2807 microRNA precursor family". Lineage: Eukaryota; Metazoa; Arthropoda; Insecta; Lepidoptera; Bombycidae. The record is from Rfam by way of RNAcentral.
UUAACUCUAAUUUGUAUGGAAUGGGAUCGUUUGCCUACGUUUGCCGCUAGGGACGCUGUUACAACUGCAUACAAAAUUGGCUUA